GGGUGCUGACAGUGCCCUUGACCACUCCUUGCUCGUGCUUUUUGCAGUGGGUGCUGCUGGGGUGCAGCUCUGGGUUUGUUCCCAAGUCUCUUCCAUGCAGGAGAUUCCCUCCUCUGUCCUUCUUGGCCUUCAUUUUUGUCACCCUCCAGGCUGCACCUGAAACACGGGGGCUGUAGAGUUUCUCAUUCCCAGACACGCCAUCACCCUUCCCACUUGCCCUUGAGCAUGACAGCCCCCUGCCAGCCCCCCAUCAACCAGUGGUGGCACACAGGCUCAGCUCCUUAGCAGGACACAGGCAGGGGUCAGGGAGCCUGCAUGCACGGGGGUGGCCCCAGGGCUGCGGUGGGGCACAGCAUCCGGUGGCAUGGGGCUAGUGGUGUGUGCUGGGCCAGGCCCGGUGGUGGUGUCAGAGCACGCUUGGCCGAGGUGUGACAGUGGCAGGAAGUCACAUUAGCUGGGGGGGACCACACACAGGACAUGCUUCCACCCACCCACUCGCCACCUCUGCUGUUACAGCGUGGCAGUGAUGGCUGGCUGCGGGGGUGAGUCCUGUGAGGCACCUACCACCCCAAAGGACAGGCAGGGACAGAAAGGGGCCAGUGGCAGUGCUGGCGAGAGGGAGGCUGUGCCAUGCUGGGGACAAGGAGGCAAGUGCUGAUGACAGGGAGGCUGUGCUGGGGACAGGGCUGCUGCCCCAUACUGGGGCAGAACAGCCCUCUGAGAUACUCAUCGUCCUUUCCUCUCUGGUGGUGCUGUCCCAGAGGACACAGCGAGGACGUGUCCCAUCUGCCCGGCACUGCUGGCGGUGACGCAGCUUCUGCGACUCAAGUAUUGUUGUGCCCACAGCAACCUGGUGAGCACGGCACAGAGGAGGACAGUGGGGCUGACAUGGCCAGUGUGAUCCUGGAGAGCAUCUUCUUGAAGCGCUCACAGCAGAAGAAGAAGACAUCUCCCCUCAACUUCAAGAAGCGCCUGUUCCUGUUGACGGAGAGCAAGCUGUCCUACUACGAGUAUGACUUUGAGCGGGGGCGCCGGGGCAGUAAGAAGGGCUCAGUGGACAUUGAGAAGAUCACCUGUGUGGAGACGGUGGUGCCUGAAAACAACCCUCCCCCUGAGCGGCAGGUCCCGAGGAAAGGAGACGAUUACAACAUGGAGCAGAUCUCAAUCAUUGAAAGGUUCCCCUACCCCUUCCAGGUGGUAUAUGACGAAGGGCCCCUCUACGUCUUCUCCCCGACAGAGGAGUUGCGCAAACGCUGGAUCCAUCAGCUGAAGAGUGUGAUCCGGUACAACAGCGACCUGGUACAGAAGUAUCACCCCUGCUUCUGGAUCGACGGCCAGUACCUGUGCUGCUCCCAGACAGCCAAGAACGCCAUGGGCUGCCAGAUCCUGGAGAGCAGGAAUGGCAGUUUAAAAGUUGGGCGGUCACAUCGCAAGACAAAGAAGCCUCUUCCCCCUACUCCUGAGGAGGACCAGAUGGUGAUGAAGCCCUUGCCACCCGAGCCAGCCCCCAGCACAGCAGGCGAGAUGAAGAAGGUGGUGGCUCUCUACAACUACCUUCCGAUGAACGCACAGGACCUGCAACUGCAGAAAGGCGAGGAGUACUUCAUCCUGGAGGAAAGCCACCUGCCCUGGUGGAAAGCCCGUGACAAGAAUGGGAGGGAAGGAUACAUACCCAGCAACUAUGUCACUGAAACCAGCAAUUCCCUGGAGAUCUUUGAGUGGUACUCAAAGAAUAUCACUCGGAGCCAAGCAGAGCAACUGCUGAAACAGGAGGGCAAGGAAGGGGGCUUCAUUGUCCGAGACUCCACCAGCAAAACAGGGAAAUACACUGUCUCUGUCUACGCCAAGUCCUCUGUAGACCCCCAAGGCACAAUCCGCCAUUAUGUUGUAUGCUGCACGCCCCAGAAUCAGUAUUACCUGGCAGAAAAGCACCUGUUCAACACCAUCCCGGAGCUCAUCACGUACCAUCAGCACAACUCUGCCGGGCUCAUAUCCAGACUGAAGUACCCUGUGUCUCAACAUCAGAAAAGUGCUCCUUCCACAGCUGGCCUCGGCUAUGGGUCAUGGGAGAUUGACCCAAAGGAUCUGACCUUCCUGAAGGAACUGGGGACUGGGCAGUUUGGCGUGGUGAAGUACGGGAAAUGGAGAGGCCAGUACGACGUUGCUAUCAAGAUGAUCAGGGAGGGUUCCAUGUCAGAGGAUGAGUUUAUCGAUGAAGCCAAAGUUAUGAUGAACCUGUCUCAUGAGAAGCUGGUGCAGCUCUAUGGGGUCUGCACCAAGCAGCGUCCCAUCUUCAUCAUCACAGAGUACAUGGCCAACGGCUGCCUCCUGAACUUCCUGAGGGAAACUCGGCAGCGGUUCCAGCCUGCUGAGCUGCUGGAGAUGUGCAAGGAUGUCUGUGAAGCUAUGGAGUACCUGGAAUCCAAGCAGUUCCUGCACCGAGACCUGGUAGGGCUGUGGCUGAAGGACACAUCUCCAGCUCAGCGACAGCCACAGCAUGUCCUAGACAGGGUCCAGCUAGUUCAUCAGCAUGAGGAGAGGCAGCUCGGCAGCCUUCUCUGCAGAACAUCCCUUUAAGCUUCCCUGCCCACCUCAGCAUGGGCGGGAUGCUCUGAAGUCACUGCUCUGCAGCUGCUCGCAACUGUUUGGUGAACGACCAAGGGAUUGUGAAAGUAUCAGAUUUUGGCCUUUCCAGGUAUGUUCUAGAUGAUGAGUAUACAAG
This is an RNA transcript of Haliaeetus leucocephalus (bald eagle), 2722 nucleotides long. It is a transcript of the gene named Bruton agammaglobulinemia tyrosine kinase, with no coding region annotated. NCBI's taxonomy places the organism in Eukaryota, Metazoa, Chordata, Aves, Accipitriformes, Accipitridae. The record is from RefSeq and is a predicted model, not a curated record. The transcript is spliced from 17 exons.